Molecule: unclassified non-coding RNA, 281 nt
Filed under: Hevea brasiliensis (rubber tree)
Lineage: Eukaryota; Viridiplantae; Streptophyta; Magnoliopsida; Malpighiales; Euphorbiaceae
Source: RNAcentral
AAAAAAACUUCAUCUUUAGUUCCAAGCUCCAAUUUCACAAAAAUGGGGAACCCUAAGAGACAAUCCAAUGAUAGGAACGAAGAACUGCACGCGGCGGCUCGAUGUGGGGAUCUUAACGCUGUUCAAACACUAUGCAGCACCAAUCCUUUAGCUGUCAACACUAGGGAUAAACACUCUCGUACACCGCUCCAUCUAGCAGCAUGGUCUGGCCAUGCCCAGAUUGUGGAUUAUCUCUGCAAAAACAAAGCUGAUGUUGGGGCUGCUGCUAUGGAUGACAUGGG